Molecule: small nuclear RNA, 107 nt
Organism: Trichechus manatus latirostris (Florida manatee)
Lineage: Eukaryota; Metazoa; Chordata; Mammalia; Sirenia; Trichechidae
Source: RefSeq, a predicted model, not a curated record
GUGCUCCCUUCAGCAACACAUAUACUAAAAUUGGAAUGAUACAGAGAAGAUUAGCAUGGUCCCUGUGAAAGGAUGAUGCGUAGAUUUGUGAAGCAUUCCAUAUUUUU